Molecule: ribosomal RNA, 604 nt
Filed under: Jorgewrightia tropica
Lineage: Eukaryota; Fungi; Basidiomycota; Agaricomycetes; Polyporales; Polyporaceae
Description: eukaryotic LSU rRNA
Rfam family: 5.8S ribosomal RNA (bases 204-357)
Source: RNAcentral
ACGAGUCUUUGACUGGGUUGUAGCUGGCCUCUCAACGGAGGCAUGUGCACGCCUGGUUCAAUUCCACUCUACACCUGUGCACUUACUGUGGGCUUUGGAUACUUGUCGAACGGGCAACCGUUAGGCAAUUGUCCGGGUCUGCGUUUAUUACAAACUCUUAUAAAGUAUCAGAAUGUGUAUUGCGAUGUAACGCAUCUAUAUACAACUUUCAGCAACGGAUCUCUUGGCUCUCGCAUCGAUGAAGAACGCAGCGAAAUGCGAUAAGUAAUGUGAAUUGCAGAAUUCAGUGAAUCAUCGAAUCUUUGAACGCACCUUGCGCUCCUUGGUAUUCCGAGGAGCAUGCCUGUUUGAGUGUCAUGAAAUCUUCAAUCUACAGUCCUUUGCGGGAUUUGUAGGCUUGGACUUGGGGGCUUGCCGUGCUUGUCAUCGGCUCCUCUUAAACGCAUUAGCUCGAUUCCUUGCGGAUCAGCUCUCGGUGUGAUAAUUGUCUACGCCGCGACUGUGAAGCGUUUGGCGGGCUUCAAACCGUCUCGUGUAAUGAGACAAUACAUUUGACCUCUGACCUCAAAUCAGGUAGGACUACCCGCUGAACUUAAGCAUAUCA